This 72-nucleotide transfer RNA is filed under the name Cavernulicola chilensis. RNAcentral describes it as "tRNA-Gln". It matches the Rfam family "tRNA". Rfam says of the family: Transfer RNA (tRNA) molecules are approximately 80 nucleotides in length. Lineage: Eukaryota; Rhodophyta; Bangiophyceae; Cavernulicolales; Cavernulicolaceae. The record is from RNAcentral.
UGGGGUAUGGCCAAGUGGUAAGGCAGCGGUUUUUGAUAUCGUAAAUCAAAGGUUCGAAUCCUUUUACCCCAG